RNAcentral lists this ribosomal RNA (440 nucleotides) under uncultured bacterium. Its description in RNAcentral is "partial 16S ribosomal RNA". It matches the Rfam family "Bacterial small subunit ribosomal RNA", at positions 338 to 795 of the family's 1533-position model. The record is from RNAcentral.
CCUACGGGGGGCUGCAGUGGGGAAUAUUGCACAAUGGGGGAAACCCUGAUGCAGCGACGCCGCGUGAAGGAUGAAGUAUUUCGGUAUGUAAACUUCUAUCAGCAGGGAAGAAAAAGACGGUACCUGACUAAGAAGCCCCUGCUAACAACGUGCCAGCAGCCGCGGUAAUACGUAGGGGGCAAGCGUUAUCCGGAUUUACUGGGUGUAAAGGGAGCGUAGACGGUAUGGCAAGUCUGAUGUGAAAACCCGGGGCUUAACCCCGGGACUGCAUUGGAAACUGUGAGGCUAGAGUGUGGGAGAGGCAAGUGGAAUUCCUGGUGUAGCGGUGAAAUGCGUAGAUAUCAGGAGGAACACCAGUGGCGAAGGCGGCUUGCUGGUCGAUAACUGACGUUGAGGCUCGAAAGCGUGGGGAGCAAACAGGAUUAGAUACCCUAGUAGUC